AACGAACGCUGGCGGCGUGCCUAACACAUGCAAGUCGAACGAGAAAUUCCGAUUCGUCGGAAGAGUAGAGUGGCGAACGGGUGAGUAACGCGUGGGUAAUCUGCCCUUGAGUUCGGGAUAACUUCGCGAAAGCGGAGCUAAUACCGAAUAAAACUGACCUUGUUCCGGCAAGAUCAGUAAAAGAUGGCCUCUACAUGUAAGCUGUCGCUUAAGGAUGAGCCCGUGUACCAUUAGCUUGUUGGUAGGGUAAUGGCCUACCAAGGCAACGAUGGUUAGCUGGUCUGAGAGGAUGAUCAGCCACACUGGAACUGAGAUACGGUCCAGACUCCUAUGGGAGGCAGCAGUGGGGGAUCUUGCGCAAUGGGGGAAACCCUGACACAGCGACGCCGUGUGAGUGAUGAAGGCUUUCGGGUCGUAAAGCUCUGUCAGGUGGGAAGAAAUAUCUCGAUACGAAUAAUAUCGGGGUUUGACGGUACCACCAAAGGAAGCACCGGCUAACUCCGUGCCAGCAGCCGCGGUAAUACGGAGGGUGCAAGCGUUGUUCGGAAUUAUUGGGCGUAAAGAGCGUGUAGGUGGUUGAACAAGUCAGGUGUGAAAGCCCUCGGCUCAACCGAGGAAGUGCAUUUGAAACUGUUCAGCUUGAGUACGGGAGAGGAGAGCGGAAUUCCCGGUGUAGAGGUGAAAUUCGUAGAUAUCGGGAGGAACACCAGUGGCGAAGGCGGUUCUCUGGCCCGAUACUGACGCUGAGACGCGAAAGCGUGGGGAGCAAACAGGAUUAGAUACCCUGGUAGUCCACGCCGUAAACGAUGGGCACUAGGUGUAGGAGGUAUUGAAUCCUUCUGUGCCGAAGCUAACGCAUUAAGUGCCCCGCCUGGGGAGUACGGCCGCAAGGCUA
RNAcentral lists this ribosomal RNA (895 nucleotides) under uncultured delta proteobacterium. Its description in RNAcentral is "bacterial SSU rRNA". It matches the Rfam family "Bacterial small subunit ribosomal RNA", at positions 28 to 896 of the family's 1533-position model. Lineage: Bacteria; Deltaproteobacteria. The record is from RNAcentral.